UGGACUAGAUACUAGUCAGUCACAGGGCACAUGUAGAGAAAAACAACUAUGCACAUGAACUCACCCUGCCUGCACCAAAAUCAGGCAUAUGUACCAUUACACCAUCAGUGUCUCAAUUCAAACCCUUCCAAAUUCAACUCUUACAUUCGAUAUUUGAAUAUUUCAAUUUCAGCCCAGUGUCAGCUUUUCAAAAUGACUGUGCAAUUUCAACCAAAAAAAACAACAACUUUGUAUUCUCCAUCUCUUUAAUAGAAUUAAGACAGUAUACUCAUCCCACACUCCAUUAGAUACAGAUUCAGAAUCUAAUGUGAUCAAAUACAGUGUUAAAGGACUGGCUUGGAUUUGGGGCUUCCCCAGCCAUGAAGCACAAGUUCUGCUGAUGUAGCCUGGAGCAAAGCUAUGACCGUAGUAGUGUAAAAUACAUCUAUUUUUUUGUAAAGUCAGGAAUUUGUUAUUAAGACUUCCCAUUCACUUGUGCAGAUGUACUUAAUGUCGUGGCCAGUGAGGUUUGGAAUUUUGGGUGGUGACAGUGCCUCGACCUUGAGUCCUAUGUAUCACAUAAAAUACACCCGGUGGUGUAUCAACAGCAUACAAAUGACACCUUAUGAAAUAUGCUCAGACAGCAGAAUGCUGAUAAUGAUUACACAAGACGUCCAUGAUCUUAUUUGAAUCCCAAAUAUUAUGAGUAACACGGUCUUGCGGGUUGUAAAAAAAAAAAAAAAAGAGAGAGAGAGAGAGAGAGAGAGAGAGAGAGAGAGAGAGAGAGAGAGAGAGAGAGAGAGAGAGACAGAGAUUACAAAAGGUGCUGUGUUGAUAUUACCACACAAUUAACUGGCAGGGACUAUGCCAUUUAUGACGGGCAUCUGUUGUUUAUUUGAUACUGUGAACUCAUUGUUCUAUUACAGAUUGUAUAUUCUUGUCAUAGCUAUCAGGGUUUUAUGAUCUUUUUCAGUCAGUGAUUUAUGUUUCUUGCACUGAUGGUGGGAGAAAAGAUUCCACUGAGAAGUGCCUAUUUGGAUACAGAUAUUUUGGUGGGAUAAACACUCGUCAUAGGAAUGGUGGUGGAUUCAUUACAGUCUGUUUGAAACGGUAGAAGCUGUUGAUUCUUUCUUGGCACCUUUUGCCACAGUGACAGUGGAUAUGCAUCGACUGUAUCAAGGUUACCAUUGCUUACUGUACUAUGCAUGGACAGCUACGUGAACUGAAUGCUUACAAAAAUAAUAGUGCGCUUCUCAGUGCUCGGUUUAGAUAGGACUGGAUUAGAACUUCAUAUCCUUCGCCUGUCAUGCCGCCAGACACAAACUUUUGUUCUGACUUUGACACACACUGACAGUUUGAAUGACAUCAAGCUAAACUUCAGGAAGUUUGUCAGGAUUAACUUACCUCACCUAAAACUUCCCAGAAAAAUUUGUGAUAGGUUGAGACAUGCCAAGCAAUAAAUAAAACAAUGAGCUGUCUGAACAGUUUGAUAGGCAGAAAAUAAUCUGCACACACUUGUGGCUGUUUCGGCACCAAAGCAUCGCAGCCCACCUGUGAAAAUCUUCGUAUAACUGACACCUAUUGCCAUUUAAAAAUAAAAUUCUAUCUAUUUUAUAAACCCAGGAAAUUCUUCACAAAAUGCCCCAAAAAACAUUCAGUAGACUUUUGUUUCAUGGUGAAAUGAAAAAGCAAAAAAAUAAAAACAACAAACAUGCAAAUUUGCGCUUGCCAAACAGUGAGCAAGCGGGGGUGGACUACAUCAAUUAGUGAAAAAAUAUGCAAGGUAAAUACUUCACCUGGGCCUGAGGCUUAGCCCGCCUUCUUGUCUCAAGCAUGUCACGAGAACUCCCCGAUUACGGCAAAGCGUGAUUCAUCAACAUUUACUGGUAGCGUAGAUUAUUGCAACAGGGAUCAUUGGUUGGUUGGUGUGGUAUACUGUACCAAUACAAACUUCUGAAAAGCGGUUCUCAAAAGAGGAAAUGUUGAGAAGUUGUGGUGACAUAGCAGUGUGCUGACGCAAGAUCAGAGAAGCAUCUUGGAACAGGAGAGGAGUGGGAUGAAACAGCCACUGAAUGCGGAGGAAUCUUCCAAUUCUGUGUGAAGAGCAAAAUGGGUUCCAAAAUGACACGCUGACUGCACGCAUUACAGAGAGGAGGUGUGAUCCAGCUUGGGUCACCAAGUAUAAUGAGGGCAUUAAAAGAUCAGCCCCAAUGCAAAACCAUAACAGGAAUGUUGUUUGCUGCUUGCUGUGGAGAGUCACUCACGGUAUCUGUCUGUGUGAGUACUUGUGCCACCUCUGCUUGCAGUGGGGAAACAACAUGUGCUUUGAGUGAGCUUCUUUCACAACAUUGUGAAAUACCCGAGUUGUGUGGUUGGUAUCUUCCAUGACCAAGGAGUGCGUGCAGUGAUAUCAAGAGGAAAAGUCAUGCUCUGCCCACUUGGUCCAUUCCGCACCUUGGCUCCUCAUCCACCCAGAUGAGAUGUUACAUAAGAGCCGACAUUGGAUGGUAAAAGUUCAUCGAUCAGAGCCUCGUUCUGACUGACACUUUGUUACAUAAUGUUCUCUCAUUGCUCUUUAUUGGGGUAAUCAGCAUUAGGUCAUUAAUAAUAAUUAAAACAAGUUCAUGUGGGCUACUUUUUAUGGCUUCCCAUAUGACCCAUAAAUCAGCUUGGUGUCAAACAUAUUGCCCUUGGGCCAAAACCCACUUGUGUUGAAUCUGGCCUGCGGAAAACUUUGAAGUUAAAUAAAAUAAAUGAAUUACUACUUUAACAGUCAUGCAAUUGCAUGUUUAAUGUAUAGACUUUAUAUUUCGUUUACAGAGAAGGUGACCAAUUUCUUUCUUAUACACGCAAAAUUGUUCUUAUUUUAGUUUGUGUUUAUCUCUGAGUCAAUUUAGAUUUGGAGAAUUAUCUACAUGUAGUCAAAUGGAGUGAAAAUGAUUUCUAUGUCUUUAUGAGUUGAUUUUUAUUUUAUUUUUAUUUUUUUUUGCCAUUCCUCACACCUGUGACUUCAGCAAGCAAUGGAGGCCGACACCCCUGACAAGCCGACUUGGGAAAGAGUCAUUCAUUUGUCCAUUGUCUGAGCCGCUGAUCCUCACGAGGGUUGCGGGUAUUCUGGAGCCGAUCCUAGCCAUCUGCGGGCACUGAGCGGGGGAAAACCUAACUGGUUUCCAGCCAAUCGCAGGAGACGCGUAGACAGACCAACAACCAUUCCCGCUCACAAUCACCACUAGGGACAAUUUAAAGUGUUCCAUUAACCUGCUAUGCAUAUUUUUAGAACAUGGAAGGAAACCGCAGUACCCGGAGAAAACCCACAAAGGCACGGGGAGCACAUACAAACCCCACACAGGGUGUCCGAAGGCCCAGAAUUGAAACCAGCACCUCUGCACUAUCAGGCACAAAUGCUAACCAGUCACCACCAUGCCGCCCGGGAAACAACCAAAAUAAAGGAAAGUAUGCAUGCCAAUUGAGAUAUUUUGAAAACAGCCAACCGGGGCCAUGCCUCCAGUGGUUUGGUUUGAUAAUAUAACAAAUACUGCCUGCACACAAGCAGGGUGCUGAAAACUGUGCUGCUCUCAAAUGCAAGAACAAUAGGACAGAUACAGUAGUGGUUUCAAGAGGGGGGGUGACUUAGACUGGUAGAGAAGGUAGGGAAACCACAUGCACCGUUCUUCACAGGCCUCUGCUCUGACUGUCUGCAAGAGAAAAAAGUGAGCUGUGCGACGCAGAAGAAAUGACAUCAUCAAGCUAGUUGGACUGACCCAAGGCUUAGUCCUCUUCUAUUUUUAAUAUUUGUUUUCAACAUUUAUGUAAAAAAAAAA
Hippocampus zosterae (dwarf seahorse) is the source of this 3800-nucleotide long non-coding RNA. RefSeq lists it as uncharacterized. The transcript has 3 exons. Lineage: Eukaryota; Metazoa; Chordata; Actinopteri; Syngnathiformes; Syngnathidae. The record is from RefSeq and is a predicted model, not a curated record.